Molecule: long non-coding RNA, 455 nt
Filed under: Mus pahari (shrew mouse)
Lineage: Eukaryota; Metazoa; Chordata; Mammalia; Rodentia; Muridae
Description: Hoxd antisense growth associated long non-coding RNA (MGP_PahariEiJ_G0005479.1)
Source: RNAcentral
CGCGCCUGCCUUGCUACCAACUUAGCCAAAGCGGCCGAGGGGCCUCCGCCCAGCUCGGGGGAGAGCGGCGCCAGCGGAAGGGCGGGGCGAGAGCCCUGGACAUCAGCUCCCGAGACCGGACAGUUUCUCAAAGAAGGACCAAAGUUUUGUCAAGAACUCCUAGAUGAAGACCUUCCUAGACCUGUAAGCUGAGAUUACCAGUUCUUGACUUCACAAGGAAGUUUCAACUAAUUCUCCUGACGGAACAAUCUGGGAGGCCCAAAUGACUGCCACCAUGAAGCAAGGACCUGAUCUCUUUCCUUUAGAUCUAAUGCCCUACUCUAACCGGAGAUCCACAACCUUCCUAAUCCCCACCCCCUCGUCGACCCGCCCCCGCGCCCCAAAAACUAUGGAGAAAAAGGAGGUCUGCCCAAGGCUGGAACGAAGUCAUCCUGCCUCUUCAUCAAAAGAGAGAG